This is a small RNA of 85 nucleotides. It matches the Rfam family "Burkholderia sRNA 25". From Rfam's summary of the family: Identified by RNA-seq, RACE and Northern blot. The record is from Rfam.
UCUGCUUUCCGAAGCAGACUUUUUCGUUGACGAAAAAGAUCUCCAAACCUUUGUCAGCGCGACUUUCCGGUCGCGCUUUUUUUUG